RNAcentral lists this long non-coding RNA (315 nucleotides) under Nicotiana benthamiana. RNAcentral describes it as "long non-coding RNA (NBEN_LNC029121)". Lineage: Eukaryota; Viridiplantae; Streptophyta; Magnoliopsida; Solanales; Solanaceae. The record is from RNAcentral.
CGCACAUGCCCGAACCACCUCAGCCUCGCUUUUCGCAUCUUCUCAUCCACCGUGGCCAACCCCACCUUCUCUCGAAUAACUUCAUUUUUAAUUUUAUCUAACCCAGUGAGCCCACACAUACACUUGAGCAUCCUCAUCUCCGCAACCUUCAUUAUCUGAACAUGAGAGUUCUUCACGGGCCAGCACUCCGCCCCAUACAACAUCGCAGGUCUAACUACGGCUCUGUAGAAUUUCCCCUUAAGUUUGUGUGGAAUUUUCUUGUCACACAGGACCCCUGAAGCAAGCCUCCACUUCGACCACCCCGCUCCUAUCCNN